UACGUAGGGUGCGAGCGUUAAUCGGAAUUACUGGGCGUAAAGCGUGCGCAGGCGGUUUUGUAAGACAGAUGGGAAAUCCCCGGGCUCAACCUGGGAACUGCGUUUGUGACUGCAAGACUCGAGUGCGGCAGAGGGGGGUGGAAUUCCACGUGUAGCAGUGAAAUGCGUAGAGAUGCGGAGGAACACCGAUGGCGAAGGCAGCCCCCUGGGCCAAUACUGACGCUCAGGCACGAAAGCGUGGGGAGCAAACAGG
Molecule: ribosomal RNA, 253 nt
Filed under: uncultured bacterium
Lineage: Bacteria
Description: partial 16S ribosomal RNA
Rfam family: Bacterial small subunit ribosomal RNA
Source: RNAcentral